GGUAGCAAUACUGGGUGGCGACCGGCAAACGGGUGCGGAACACGUACGCAACCUUCCUUUAACUGGAGAAUAGCCCGGGGAAACCCGGAUUAAUACUCCGUAACAUUAUGAAGUGGCAUCACUUUAUAAUUAUAGCUCCGGCGGUUGAAGAUGGGCGUGCGUCUGAUUAGGUAGUUGGCGGGGUAACGGCCCACCAAGCCUACGAUCAGUAACUGGUGUGAGAGCACGACCAGUCACACGGGCACUGAGACACGGGCCCGACUCCUACGGGAGGCAGCAGUAAGGAAUAUUGGUCAAUGGACGCAAGUCUGAACCAGCCAUGCCGCGUGGAGGAUGAAGGUCCUCUGGAUUGUAAACUUCUUUUAUUUGGGAAGAAACCACCGAUUUCUAUUGGUGUUGACGGUACCAGAUGAAUAAGCACCGGCUAACUCCGUGCCAGCAGCCGCGGUAAUACGGAGGGUGCAAGCGUUAUCCGGAUUCACUGGGUUUAAAGGGUGCGUAGGCGGGUUGGUAAGUCCGUGGUGAAAUCUCCAAGCUUAACUUGGAAACUGCCGUGGAUACUAUCAAUCUUGAAUAUAGUGGAGGUGAGCGGAAUAUGUCAUGUAGCGGUGAAAUGCUUAGAUAUGACAUAGAACACCCAUUGCGAAGGCAGCUCGCUACACUAUUAUUGACGCUGAGGCACGAAAGCGUGGGGAUCAAACAGGAUUAGAUACCCUGGUAGUCCACGCCCUAAACGAUGAUUACUCGACAUCAGCGAUACACUGUUGGUGUCUGAGCGAAAGCAUUAAGUAAUCCACCUGGGAAGUACGA
Molecule: ribosomal RNA, 810 nt
Filed under: uncultured Sphingobacteriales cum 'Crenotrichaceae' bacterium
Lineage: Bacteria; Pseudomonadati; Bacteroidota; Sphingobacteriia; Sphingobacteriales
Description: bacterial SSU rRNA
Rfam family: Bacterial small subunit ribosomal RNA
Source: RNAcentral